This 89-nucleotide transfer RNA is filed under the name Caloramator fervidus. RNAcentral's name for it is "tRNA_Leu_TAA". It matches the Rfam family "tRNA". From Rfam's summary of the family: Transfer RNA (tRNA) molecules are approximately 80 nucleotides in length. Their secondary structure includes four short double-helical elements and three loops (D, anti-codon, and T loops). Lineage: Bacteria; Bacillati; Bacillota; Clostridia; Eubacteriales; Clostridiaceae. The record is from RNAcentral.
GCCGGAGUGGCGGAACAGGCAGACGCACAGGACUUAAAAUCCUGUGGUCCGAAAGGACCGUACCGGUUCGACCCCGGUCUCCGGCACCA